GCGCAUGACAGCAUUCACUGGUGAAAGGACUGGCAGCAGCGAGAGCAUCAUAGUUGACAUGGUCGGAGCUACAGUCCCCAUAUCCGUCUCUACUCUUUCUGUAAUUGACUUCCUCCCGCUCCCAACCAACCUUUUCCUUUGAAAUGGUUGAGGGAUAUGAAUCUGGAUCCCGAUCUUGUCUCACGGGCUAUCCCGUAGUGGUUCUGUGACCGUCAAUUGGAUCUAUUUCUUUCACACGGUCAACUGGCAUUGGUUCAACUAACUGGCUGGCUGCUAUUGAUUGAUAUCAGAGCCCGAGCCUUUGCCCCUUUUUGCAUGGUCAACGAGUUAUGGUCC
RNAcentral lists this long non-coding RNA (336 nucleotides) under Oryza brachyantha (malo sina). Its description in RNAcentral is "long non-coding RNA (OBRA_LNC003571)". Lineage: Eukaryota; Viridiplantae; Streptophyta; Magnoliopsida; Poales; Poaceae. The record is from RNAcentral.